AAGUCGUAACAAGGUUUCCGUAGGUGAACCUGCGGAAGGAUCAUUAACACGUUUUAAACGUAUCAACCAACCGCGAACUUUGACGUUAGUGGUCUCUCUCCGCAAGGGGAGUUGACUGCGCCUGAGCAUUGUUAGAGGAAAGUGUCAUUACUUCCUUUAACCUUGUUCAACAUUAACCCAAACCACUUUUGUUGUUAUUAUCUGUCUUAAAGGACGUGGCGUCUAACGCUAUUGUCUUUUAUUACAAACUUGUACAACUCUUAGCAACGGAUGUCUUGGUUUCC
This 284-nucleotide unclassified non-coding RNA is filed under the name fungal sp. Its description in RNAcentral is "partial internal transcribed spacer region". The stretch from base 1 to 46 matches the Rfam family "Eukaryotic small subunit ribosomal RNA", at positions 1786 to 1831 of the family's 1831-position model. Lineage: Eukaryota; Fungi. The record is from RNAcentral.